GAUGAAGAACGUAGUGAAAUGCGAUAAGUAAUGUGAAUUGCAGAAUUCAGUGAAUCAUCGAAUCUUUGAACGCACAUUGCGCCCUCUGGAAUUCCGGGGGGCAUGCCUGUUCGAGCGUCAUUAUAACCACUCAAGCUCUCGCUUGGUAUUGGGGUUCGCGGUUUCGCGGCCCCUAAAAUCAGUGGCGGUGCCUGUCGGCUCUACGCGUAGUAAUACUCCUCGCGAUUGAGUCCGGUAGGUCUACUUGCCAGCAACCCCUAAUUUUUUUAAGGUUGACCUCGGAUCAGGUAGGGAUACCCGCUGAACUUAAGCAUAUCAAUAAGCGGAGGA
This 330-nucleotide unclassified non-coding RNA is filed under the name soil metagenome. RNAcentral's name for it is "partial contains 5.8S ribosomal RNA, internal transcribed spacer 2, and large subunit ribosomal RNA". The stretch from base 1 to 120 matches the Rfam family "5.8S ribosomal RNA", at positions 35 to 154 of the family's 154-position model. The record is from RNAcentral.